AUUGAACGCUGGCGGCAGGCUUAACACAUGCAAGUCGAACGAGUGGCGGACCGGUGAGUAAUGCUUGGGAAACUCUCUUAUGGAGGGGGAUAACUACGGGAAACUGUCGCUAAUACCGCAUACCAUCAGAUGAGCCCAAGUGGGAUUAGGUAGUUGGUGGGGUAAUGGCUCACCAAGCCGACGAUCCCUAGCGGGUCUGAGAGGAUGACCAGCCACACUGGAACUGAGACACGGUCCAGACUCCUACGGGAGGCAGCAGUGGGGAAGAUUGCACAAUGGGGGCAACCUGACGCAGCCAUGCCGCGUGAAUGAAGAAGGCCUUCGGGUUGUAAAGUACUUUCGGUAGCGAGGCGUUAACUACAGAAGAAGCACCGGCUAACUACGUGCCAGCAGCCGCGGUAAUUC
RNAcentral lists this ribosomal RNA (405 nucleotides) under uncultured bacterium. RNAcentral describes it as "partial 16S ribosomal RNA". It matches the Rfam family "Bacterial small subunit ribosomal RNA", at positions 30 to 526 of the family's 1533-position model. The record is from RNAcentral.